Molecule: ribosomal RNA, 429 nt
Filed under: uncultured bacterium
Lineage: Bacteria
Description: bacterial SSU rRNA
Rfam family: Bacterial small subunit ribosomal RNA
Source: RNAcentral
UGGGGAAUUUUGGACAAUGGGCGAAAGCCUGAUCCAGCGACGCCGCGUGUGCGAUGAAGGCCUUUGGGUCGUAAAGCACUGUCGACAGGGACGAAAACUCGGUGGAUAACACCCACCGAGCUUGACUGUACCUGUGGAGGAAGCACCGGCUAACUCUGUGCCAGCAGCCGCGGUAAUACAGAGGGUGCGAACGUUGCUCGGAAUUACUGGGCGUAAAGCGCGUGUAGGCGGUCCGUUAAGUUGGUAGUGAAAUCCCAUGGCUCAACCAUGGAAGUGCUGCCAAAACUGGCGGGCUGGAGUGCCGGAGAGGGUGGCGGAAUUCCCAGUGUAGAGGUGAAAUUCGUAGAUAUUGGGAGGAACACCGGUGGCGAAGGCGGCCACCUGGACGGUAACUGACGCUAAGACGCGAAAGCGUGGGGAGCAAACAGG